Myodes glareolus (Bank vole) is the source of this 3354-nucleotide non-coding RNA. The record is from RefSeq and is a predicted model, not a curated record. Lineage: Eukaryota; Metazoa; Chordata; Mammalia; Rodentia; Cricetidae.
GUAGCCUAGGCUGCCCCAAACUCCAUAUGUACUACGGGGUGAUCUUGAACCGGCACAGUCUUCUUUAUUUCAUGUGUAUAAAUGCUUUGCUUACAUGUAUAUAUGUUCACCACAUGUGUGCCUGGAGCCUAGAAAAGCCAGAGUGAGGCUGCCAUUGGGUGUUGCUAACUGAACCUGAGUCCUCUGUGAGUGCAGUCAGUGUUCUAACCACUGAGCUGUCUGUCUUCCCUACUUCCCUAUGAGGACAUGAAAACAUAGAUCCCAGUUCCGGGAGAUCCAACAACCUCACAUUUGGUACACAUAUGUACAUGCAAGGAAGCUAAGUAUUGUUAUGCUUAGUCCAUGGGGACCCCAAAAGACCACCAGGGAGACCAACUCACCAAAAUGCAAAAGCAAGGUUUAUUGUGUGUGCGUUACAAGUUGGCAGGGACCUCGUCAGUGUGCAGGAGGGAGAAGAGGUACCCCACCCUUCUAGAGGGCACUAUUUAAAAGCAAAAACCAGAAAAGUUACUCUGGGCCAGUCUCCUACUCUGUCAAGUCAUGGUUUAGACUCCAUAAUCUAGGAUUCUCUGCACUGUUUACAGAAAUGACAUCACAGUCUUUAUGUCUCCAAGAGGAUCAGGAUGGGACUUCUAAAUCAAAUCCUAUAUGCUCACUAGUUUUUGUUGGUGUCUUUGCAACAGCAAUGGCGAUUUUCAGAAGCCCAUCAAAGGCUUGGCUGGGAUGGCCCUUUGCAUUAUAGCGUCCUCGUCACUCUGCAGCCCUCCUCACAAGGUCCUUGUCACCACCCUAAAUCCCCAGACAAAUGUCUAGGUUUAUCUACCUAAAGCCACGUAAUCUCUAUCCCUCUUCUUGCUGAAAAUUCAGCCACAGGUAUUCAGGAUUGAUGCCAAACCCUCCAGAGACAAUGUUAGGCCCUUCACCCCAACAGUAACACCCAACACCCUUCAGCACCACCCUUCCCAUUCUAGUUUGCCAUCUGUGGUUGUGAUAAACAAUCUGAUCCGAAAACAACUUGUGGGGGUUGGAGAGAUGGCUCAGAGGUUAGGACCAAUGGCUGUUCUCCUAGAGAUCCCGAGUUCUAUUCCUAGCAACAACAUUGUGGCUCACAACCAUCUAUAAUGAUAUCUGGUGCCCUUUUAUGGCAUGCAAGCCUACAGGCAGGCAAAGCACUGUAUACAUAAUUAAUAGGCAAAUCUUAAAAAAAAUGCAAGUUGGGAAAGAAAGGGUUUAUUUGGCUUACACUUGUAGGACAUAGUCCAUUUUUGAGGGAAGUCAGAGCAGGAAUUCAAGCAGAAACCUGGGGCAGGGGCUAUAGAGAGCUGCUGCCUGUUGGUUUGCUCACAAGUUUAUGCUUAGCUAAUAUUCUUAUACAACUCAGGGCCACCUGCCUAGGGAAUAGUGUUGCCCACAGUGGGCCAAUCCCUUGUUUAUCAAUUAGCAAGCAAGACAGACCUCCAUCUACAUGUCCACUAACCAAUGUAAUCUGAACACUUCUUCAACUGGGAGUUCAUUGUCAGGUGACUCUGGGUUCUAUUAAGUUUACAAGCUAACUAGGACACAUCCACUUCCAUGUACAUCUGUGAUCACAGUGUUUCUCCAGCCUGCUUGGACGUCCCCACCUUCAUACAUAUGGAAGACUUUUCUCUUUGUUCAGCCCUCUCCCUCCUUCCCACUUUCUCUAGCUUAUCCCCUCAUUCUUAGUCUCCUUGGAUACUUCCUCAACACUGAGGAAGGUCUCCCUGAUUCUCCUGCUCAGCCUCUGGUCCGUGUUAGAGUUAGUUUUUUGGUGCAUCUUCAUGUUUAUGGCCCACCUCUGUUGUUGGGAUGCAAACUCCCCAACUUGGAUAUUGUUUUUCUUUGUCUCCUGUGUAGCUGGAAUAUGGUUGGUUCCCUGUGCAGCUCAGGAUGAAACGUGGCCCCCAGUGUGACAGUGUUAAGAGGUCGUGGGACCUGUAAGAACUGAGUAGGCUUGUGAAUGGGACUCAUGGAGUUUUUAUGGAACUGGGUUCGUGGCCUCCCAUGAGACAGGCUCCAGGAAGUGAGACUGUCGGUCAGUGUGGACUAGCUUCUGCACAUCCCUGCUUGCUUUUCAGCUCUCAUCAUGAGCUCAUGCAGCAUAAAGGCCCCAGAAACUGAACAGAGGUCAACACCGGGUUCUUGAACUUUCUUUCUAGCAUCUGCAAUGGAGGAACUGAUGAAAUUUCCUCACUUUAUACAGAACCCAUUCUCAGGCAUUCUAUUGUAGCAAUAGAGAUGGAUUAAGACAGCUCCCCAGUGUCUCCUAUGAAAUCUAUCAUGAAGGAGGCACCUUCUACUACCUGGUACUAUCUGGAAUACCUGGAUAAUGGACAUUGACUAUUGGCUGUUUGCUAGGGGAGCCUGAUCAUUAUGGACCUCCAGGGAUCUGUCAAGAAACAAUUCCUAGUUCAAGCCAUGGAUGUCUGUUCAUCGCUGGGUUUGCCGGACCGUCAACUCCUGUUUACAACAGAAGCCAUUCCGAAGAUGCUCAGUGGACAGAGAGUCAGAAGAUCCUCCGCCGAGUCUAGAUUGCCAGGGAAGUCACUUCCUGUCUCUGAAUUUUAGUUAUAAUGACAGGCUGCAGGUGGCAUUUGCAGAGACCAGAGAUCAACUUGGAAUCCAUUGAUUUGGCUGGCCUGCCUAGUCAGUGAGCCUUGGGAAUCCUCCCGUCUCUACGUCCGUGGACUAGGAGUACAUGUACGUACCUCUGUGCCUCACUUUGGAAUGCUAUUUCCAGGGACCCAGCUUAGCUUUCAUGAUUGCACAGAAGGUAUUUUCCUGGGUGAGCCAUCUCCCCAAUUCCCAGGGUUCUUUUCUUAUGUUCCCAUAGCUCUGUGUGUUCUCUCAGAACACCCACUACAAUGUUUCUUGAUUUGCUUGCUUCCCUACCAGGAACCCGAGUUGCUUGUGAGCAGGGACUCUGGGUCUUAGAUUUUCAAGGGAAUAAAUGAGCGACGGAUUAAGAAAGGAAACACGGCUUGACUUUCGAGGUCCAGCUCUUCAGUUGAUCGUCACGGGGCACGAAUGGAAUUGGGCUGGAAGACCUUACCCUCCGUUCAGGAACAGUAAAAUGUGUUUGCAAGGCAUGCAGUCUUCAGGAACAGUAAAAUGUGUUUGCAAGGCAUGCAGUCUUCAGGGUGACAAACGCUGGGGAUGGCAGGUGUGUUCAUUUUCAGAGUGUUCCAAGCCUGCUCCACACUUAUAAAACCAAGUACUGAGUAUAUGGGAAACCCUGGAAUCAUCACGCUGCAGGGUGCUCCCCAGGCCCUGUCGAAUUAGCACCUUUGUCUGGUAAUGGAACAUAAAGAGUGACCUUUUGCUGUCUCUGUGUGA